This is a non-coding RNA of Pelobates cultripes (western spadefoot toad), 210 nucleotides long. The record is from the annotation of a GenBank genome assembly. NCBI's taxonomy places the organism in Eukaryota, Metazoa, Chordata, Amphibia, Anura, Pelobatidae.
CUUUAUAGCAGAGAAAAAAGGAAGAGGGGUAUAAACCUCCCUCCCCCAUGGAUUGAUUUAAUUCAUUAGUUGCAGUAGUUCCAAUCAAGGUCUAGUGCGCAGUGUUCCACUUCAGUGAAUAGAAUCUUUAAAGUGAUGGUGGCCUAAUCAGCACUAUGAUAUUUAAAGUGUAAUGUCUCAAGCUUUCAUCCUUACUAAGGAGAAAACAAC